RNAcentral lists this ribosomal RNA (465 nucleotides) under Phomopsis sp. 4 UFMGCB 5101. Its description in RNAcentral is "eukaryotic LSU rRNA". The stretch from base 145 to 298 matches the Rfam family "5.8S ribosomal RNA". The record is from RNAcentral. Lineage: Eukaryota; Fungi; Ascomycota; Sordariomycetes; Diaporthales; Diaporthaceae.
UUUGUGAACUUAUACCUAUUGUUGCCUCGGCGUCAGGCCGGCCUCUUCACUGAGGCCCCCCGGAGACGGGGAGCAGCCCGCCGGCGGCCAACUAAACUCUUGUUUCUAUAGUGAAUCUCUGAGUAAAAAACAUAAAUGAAUCAAAACUUUCAACAACGGAUCUCUUGGUUCUGGCAUCGAUGAAGAACGCAGCGAAAUGCGAUAAGUAAUGUGAAUUGCAGAAUUCAGUGAAUCAUCGAAUCUUUGAACGCACAUUGCGCCCCCUGGUAUUCCGGGGGGCAUGCCUGUUCGAGCGUCAUUUCAACCCUCAAGCCUGGGCUUGGUGAUGGGGCACUGCUUCGAAAGGAGCAGGCCCUGAAAUUCAGUGGCGAGCUCGCCAGGACCCCGAGCGUAGUAGUUAUAUCUCGCUUUGGAAGGCCCUGGCGGUGCCCUGCGUUAAACCCCAACUUCUGAAAAUUUGNCCUC